CUGGUUGCACCAGGGAUUGCUGGUGGCAGGAGAUACUUCCCCUAAAAGAGGUUUGGAAGAGGAGGCAGAGCCCAGGGCACAGGAAUGAUAAAUCCCCCCCAGGCUUCAGCUUAAAUCCUUGACUCGUUAAUGAGAAAUGCAACUGGCACUACUUAACUGCACCGCUCCUCUUUAUUAGCAGCCCCAGCCUCCUGCAAGCAGAGAGGAGGAAUAAACAAAAGCACUGCUCACAGCUACGCCCGACUGACCUUGGGAAGUCAACCUGACCUCAGCUUGUCUGUCUAAUGAGUCAACGACAUAAUUAUGGCUCAGGAAGAGGCUGGAACCGCGCUGUGCUGGGAGGUCCACUGGGACAUGGACUGACUUUGUGCCCAAGGAUCGUCAUUUAAGGACAAAUCCACCUCUCCACCUAAAACCCAUGCAUCUGGGCUCCUUCUGCAGCUUAAGGGAAGAUGCUCGCUGCAGUGGAUUUUUGCUGUACGUGGAGAGGGGUCACAACCUCUGGGGAAGGUGCUCCUGCCUCUUGCUGUCCCUAGAGGAAGCCCAGAGGACUGCCUAGGAUUUAAGGCUUGAAGAAAAGGCACAUCCAGCUAAGCCUUUCCAUACAGCAGCCUCAGACGGAAAAUCUCUUAAGAACAGAUCUCUUCGCGUCCCACAGCCCCUGCUCUCCGCCUCGCCCCGCUGUAUUCUGAGGCACUGGGGUCAACGCACAGAAAUCCUGCUGCAGGGAGAGGCAAAACAACCGAAAUACAGACUGAAGCAGCAAGGAGGUUUCCUUGUGCCUUUGUUUCCUUGUGUCUUUGUUCUUGCUGAUGGAAGGACUCCGGAAUUUGCCCACAAUACGAUUUAUUUGCCUUCUUAAGAAGACACGCUUUUUUCCUCCUCCCUUAAUCUCUCCUUCCCUGAGAUAACAUUGACACCAAUAUCCAUAAAGGGAAAUAUUAAAACAACCCCUUCCAUUACAUCCUAAUUUAACUACUUCCCCGUGUUGCAUGGCACACCUGGUUGUCUUUGUCUGUUUGUAAUGUGCUCCUUCAUUCCUUUCUUGAGAGCCCCUCCAUUCCAUCAAAUUCCUCCUCCUUGCACACUAAGCUGCAGAUUACUUUUUCAUAAGAUGCAAUUUCACCUAGAUCUCAUUACUUACUCUCUUAAUGUAUUUUCUGUAUUUGUUUCAUCUACAAUUUCUCUUCUGCUCUGUUCUGCUGAUAAAACAGGCAGUUGAGGUGCUGUGGAAAGCAACUUGCUGGAGUGCAUUAACUAAAAUUCUCCGUGUUCCUGAUUCGGUGUGCGUUCUCUGGGCCUCCAGCCUGCCAGACAGAAUUAGAGCUACGAUCUGCACGGCGCAGAAAGGACCCUGGAAUGCAGCCCACUUGAUUUAUUAGCAUCUAUCUGAUAGUGGCAUUUAAGCUAACUGGGAACCAGGAGCAAGAGGAAGGUGGGCAGGGAGAUUCACUGGGAAUGCUGGAUUUUCAAGCCAGCCUCAAGAUGCUGAAGUUCCAUGAGGAUGCUGUAAUGCUCCAUGAGAGGUAGACUGUGGAUGCCCUCUCCUGUGAUGUACUGUGAUAUCCCCUGACCCUCGGUAGCUGGGAUUUGCAUAGAAAUGGUAACUGCAAUGCAGCAUGGAAGGUGGGAGUCUACUUGGAGCCACUGGCCCAAAAAGGACACGAGGAACGAGCUGCCUCCAGACUGCAGAUCUUGUCUGGCAUCGUGUCAGCCUACCUAGGUGGAAACCGCUCCAUUUUGCCUGAAUUACAGCUGUUGUGGGCUGGCCAUCUCCCGCUUUUCAAGUGUUUUGGGAUAAAACUGAAGGCAACUUUUCUGGGAAGAGAUGACAAAGUUAAGGAAAAUUGCUAUUAUCUGAGAAAAGAAGUCACCAGAGAUUCAGAGGAGCCAUCCUCAUCACUCUGACACUGCACUGGCCAGAGUUACAGCUGUGGACCACGUCUGCCAUGCAGCUCCCAUACCAAAGCAGAGAUACCCAUCUCUAUUACAUCGGUGCUGCUGAAGGACCCGCUUUCCUUCUGGACUGCAUUUUUACAGAGAUCGAGGACUAAAUACUCAGCCUGGGGGCCUGCCCUUGGGACAACGCUGCUGGCCUUCACCUUGACCAUCACCAAGUUAAUCAAACAUCUUCCGGAUGCAUUUGGAUUUUUUAAACCUUGUUGGGCUCGUUUGGAGUCGCUGUCAAGCUCCUGUGCCCAGAGCACAUUUAAGCCCAGUGCUGGUUUGCCCCCUUCCCUUCGCCCCCAGCUGCAGGCAGGCAGGGCACGGCGCCUCCGUGGUGAGAUGUCUGCCAGGGGAACGCCAAGAACAGGCUGUUCUCAGAAAAGAGGUAUUUGCCGUAAGAGGCUUAAAGUGCAAGUUUGGGGUCUGGCCUGAACUCAAGCCAAAAAAAAAAAAAAAAAAAAAAGCCACACCAAAACCCCCUGUAAUUACAGGCAAUAUUUUCACUCCGCGGAAGAUUAACAGGCCAGGAGGAGAAUUUAAGUCUCCUUCUUUCCUGAAUUCCAAUUUAAUAGCAAAUAAUCCUGCCCCCGAAUGCAAAGGAAAUAUAUUACCCUGGAGAAUUGUGGUGAAGUUCAAAGGAGGUCAGACAACAAAAAGGUCAAAAAUUAAGCAGACGGCAUUUUGUGAUGGGGUAUAGAAAAUAAAAAGUGAUCUGUUCUUCCUUUUCUGUACCUACACUCCUCCCCUACCACCAAAUUCUGUACAUAUCCCCCCUCUUGUUUAUUCUGCAGCUAAAAUAAGAGUCUGAAGUCGCUAACACUCCCUGUUCUUCAGUGAUGUUCAGGCAAGCACACCACUUUUAAUGUGUCUGGAGGGAGGAAUUUAUUAAAGAGGCACUGCAUUAAAAAUAUGCAAAUGUUCCCGGUAACUACACGGGCCCAUGAGGAAGCCAGAUGAAAUGUCAUCCCUCCCUUCUCCCCUCCCUGUUUUUAUGCACUAAGAUGGUUUAUGGCUCCUCCUGUUUUACACUGUAACUGGGAGCAUGGCAGAUAUUUAAUCUGUUUGAAAAUAAUUGCAGCAAUAAUGAUUAUUUUAUUGGGUUUAACUACGUUCUAAAAAAAGGCGAUGCUGCAGCAAUGACUCGCCCAGGAAGGAAGAAGGAGAAAUGAUGCUCAGAGUGUGUGUGCGUGGUUUUAUAGCCACCAACGUGCAUCUGGGCAGGCUUCGGGAUGCCCGUGUGGAUGCUGUGAUCAUGGGGCCACCAGGCAAUGCGGAUGGGCCCGGACUGUACCUACCCCACAGCUGAGGAAGGCUGCCUUAAAAAUAAGGUUCCUUCUAAGGCCAGAAGUCCUGCAAAGCAGGAGCCACUCUCUGCUUCGGUUCAGUCCU
Non-coding RNA from Anas platyrhynchos (mallard), 3336 nucleotides. The record is from RefSeq and is a predicted model, not a curated record. NCBI's taxonomy places the organism in Eukaryota, Metazoa, Chordata, Aves, Anseriformes, Anatidae.